AUUAAGUUUGAUUUUGUCUUAAAAAUUAAUUUUUUGCAGAUAUUAUACGUUUUAUUUUUAAUAAAAGUUUUAUCAGUAAUAAAUAUUUUUAUAUUGUUUUACAAUUAAGUUAUGCAUUGAUUUUAGAAAAAUAUUGUGCCAGCAUUCGCGGUUAAACAAUUUAAGAAAAUUAAUUUCUUUAGUUUUAAUUUUUAUUUUUGAAUUAAAAAUUUAUUUACUUAAGUGAAAUUUUUAUUUAAGUUAAUUUCUUGAUUAAAUUUUAGUAAAUCUUUCUUAGAAACCAGGAUUAGAUACCCUGUUAUUUUAUAUUUAAUUUUUUAUACUUUAACAUUAAUAGUUAUUUUCUAUAAAAUUUGAAUAAUUUGGCGGUAAAUUAUUAUUAGGGGAACCUGUUCUUUAAUUGAUAAACCACGAUAGGUUUUACUUAAAGUAUAUUUGUAUACCUCUAUAUUUGGAGUAUUUUUUUUAGAAUAUACUUUUUUUAUUUAAUUAUUUUAUGUUAGGUCAAGGUGCAGUUAUUUUUAAGAAAGCGUGGGUUACUUUAAAUUUUAAUAUAUAGGAAAAUUAAUUUUUAAAUUUAUUUGAAUUAGGAUUUGAUAGUAAUUUAAAAUAAUUAUUUUAUUUGAAUAAUUAUUUAAUUUAUGCACAUAUUGCCCGUCACUCUCAUUUAAAUUGAGAUAAGUCGUAACAAAGUAAUUGUACUGGAAAGUGUAAUUAGAAUAAAG
Molecule: non-coding RNA, 725 nt
Filed under: Empoascanara sipra
Lineage: Eukaryota; Metazoa; Arthropoda; Insecta; Hemiptera; Cicadellidae
Source: RNAcentral